Molecule: ribosomal RNA, 468 nt
Filed under: uncultured bacterium
Lineage: Bacteria
Description: partial 16S ribosomal RNA
Rfam family: Bacterial small subunit ribosomal RNA
Source: RNAcentral
GACGAACGCUGGCGGCGUGCUUAACACAUGCAAGUCGAACGGAAAGGCCCUGCUUUUGUGGGGUGCUCGAGUGGCGAACGGGUGAGUAACACGUGAGUAACCUGCCCUUGACUUUGGGAUAACUUCAGGAAACUGGGGCUAAUACCGGAUAGGAGCUCCUGCUGCAUGGUGGGGGUUGGAAAGUUUCGGCGGUUGGGGAUGGACUCGCGGUUUAUUAGCUUGUGGGUGGGGUAGUGGCUUACCAAGGCAUUGACGGGUAGCCGGCCUGAGAGGGUGACCGGCCACAGUGGGACUGAGACUCGGCCCCGGCUCCGACUGGAGGCAGCAGUGGGGAUUAGUGCACAAUGGGCGGAAGCCUGAUGCAGCAACGCCGCGUGCGGGAUGACGGCCUUCGGUUUGUAAACCGCUUUCGCCUGUGACGAAGCGUGAGUGACGGUAAUGGGUAAAGAAGCACCGGCUAACUACGUG